AGACCCGAAACCCGGUGAUCUAGCCAUGGGCAGGUUGAAGGUUGGGUAACACUAACUGGAGGACCGAACCGACUAAUGUUGAAAAAUUAGCGGAUGACCUGUGGCUGGGGGUGAAAGGCCAAUCAAACCGGGAGAUAGCUGGUUCUCCCCGAAAGCUAUUUAGGUAGCGCCUCGUGAAUUCAUCUCCGGGGGUAGAGCACUGUUUCGGCUAGGGGGUCAUCCCGACUUACCAACCCGAUGCAAACUGCGAAUACCGGAGAAUGUUAUCACGGGAGACACACGGCGGGUGCUAACGUCCGUCGUGAAGAGGGAAACAACCCAGACCGCCAGCUAAGGUCCCAAAGUCAUGGUUAAGUGGGAAACGAUGUGGGAAGGCCCAGACAGCCAGGAUGUUGGCUUAGAAGCAGCCAUCAUUUAAAGAAAGCGUAAUAGCUCACUGGUCGAGUCGGCCUGCGCGGAAGAUGUAACGGGGCUAAACCAUGCACCGAAGCUGCGG
This 496-nucleotide ribosomal RNA is filed under the name Salmonella enterica. Its description in RNAcentral is "partial 23S ribosomal RNA". It matches the Rfam family "Bacterial large subunit ribosomal RNA", at positions 711 to 1205 of the family's 2925-position model. The record is from RNAcentral. Lineage: Bacteria; Pseudomonadati; Pseudomonadota; Gammaproteobacteria; Enterobacterales; Enterobacteriaceae.